RNAcentral lists this transfer RNA (74 nucleotides) under Streptomyces mutabilis. Lineage: Bacteria; Bacillati; Actinomycetota; Actinomycetes; Kitasatosporales; Streptomycetaceae. The record is from RNAcentral.
UCGCGCUUCGGCGCCGCCUUCCCCACGCCCGCCUUCAGCUUCUUCUCCAGACCGCGCAUCACCCGCGUCAGCAG